AUGUUCAAACCCGUCCUCGACCCUCCCGACUGUGUCCCUCCUCAGCGCUUCGACAUGCGACUCCACGACAUUGACAGUAGCCGUGGCAUGGGGGUCCAACUGCCCGGGUGCCGCCACGGUCGCCUCCUCAUCAUGUCCUCACGGCGGGAAGAGCUUAUUGUAAUUGCUCCCAUAACCGGCGAGAAGCUCCAUCUGACCGUUCCGUCGAAGUUCAAGGGGGACUGCUACCUCGAUGGGGCGGUGCUCUGCGCUGCUACUGACCAUGACCACGUGCACGGAAGCUGCCACUUGAGCCCAUUCAAGGUGGUCUUGCUCUCCUUGAGCAUCAGAGGUCCACAGCCCGCCUUCGCACAUGUUUACUCCUCAGAGACCGGUGUAUGGAGCGACCUCAUCUCAACACCGACUCCACCUAAGUUUUGUCAUACUAAUAGUCCUGGUUCACUUAUUGGUAAUGCACUUUACUGGCUGUGCAGAGGUGCAGAUUACAUACUUAAGUUUGAUUUUGACGGGCGGAGCCUAGCUGUGAUCAGAGCGCCUCCCAUUACAAAUGAUGUCUGCUACCGCAAUGGCAGCCAUCAGAUCAUUCAGGCUGUGGAUGGCGCUGUUGGUCUCGCCAUAUUGUCUCAUAAUAGCCAUACCAUUCAAAUGUGGCAAAAGGAGGUCAAUUCCCAGAGUGUUAACAAAUGGUUUUUGUGGCAGACCAUUGAAAUGCAUAACAUUCAUGGGUUACCUGCUCAGAUUGAAGGGCAGAAGGCAAGGUUAAUAUUUAUACUGGGAUAUGCUGAGGAUACUGAUGGAAUACUUUUAUACAUGGACGGCGGUGUCUAUAUGGUUCAACUAAAGUUGAUGCAACCUAGAAAACUUUGUGAAAAGCCCCCAAAUAAUCACUAUCAUUCUUUCGAGAGUUUCUAUAUGCCAGACUCACUGUUGUCUUUUCAUGCUUAUACUUCUACGCACAUCCAUUGA
This 966-nucleotide ribosomal RNA is filed under the name Triticum aestivum (bread wheat). RNAcentral's name for it is "partial small subunit ribosomal RNA". Lineage: Eukaryota; Viridiplantae; Streptophyta; Magnoliopsida; Poales; Poaceae. The record is from RNAcentral.